GAGAAACGGAAAAAGAAGAGGAAAGAAACAAAGAAGAGGAAAGAAAGAAGAGAGGAAAGAGAGAAGAGAAAAGAGGAAAGAAAUAAGGGAAAAGAGAAAAGAAGAGAAAGGGAAACGGAAAGAAACAAAGAAGAGGAAAAAGUGAAGGGGAAAGAGACAAGAGGAAGAGAAGGAAGAAAGAGGGUGAAUGAGUGAAGAGAGAGAGCAGAGAGAAAAUUCAGUGAGCCACACAUGUUGUAAACACUAAAGUUGUAGCCAUAUUAUUUUAUAUAGUGAAAAGUUACUGCUGCUGCUCUCCGAGGACGUAGGCAUAGCCGAACCUCGUUAAAUGCUGUGUCUCAUCUACUUUACGUGCAGCUAAAUAUUCGUAC
RNAcentral lists this long non-coding RNA (371 nucleotides) under Prunus persica (peach). RNAcentral describes it as "long non-coding RNA (PPER_LNC001871)". Lineage: Eukaryota; Viridiplantae; Streptophyta; Magnoliopsida; Rosales; Rosaceae. The record is from RNAcentral.